This 333-nucleotide ribosomal RNA is filed under the name Babesia gibsoni. RNAcentral's name for it is "SSU rRNA". It matches the Rfam family "Eukaryotic small subunit ribosomal RNA", at positions 567 to 952 of the family's 1831-position model. The record is from RNAcentral. Lineage: Eukaryota; Apicomplexa; Aconoidasida; Piroplasmida; Babesiidae.
CCAGCAGCCGCGGUAAUUCCAGCUCCAAUAGCGUAUAUUAAACUUGUUGCAGUUAAAAAGCUCGUAGUUGAAUUUUUGCGUUGCCCGACUCGGCUACUUGCCUUGUCUGGUUUCGCUUUUGGGGUUUUCCCCUUUUUACUUUGAGAAAAUUAGAGUGUUUCAAGCAGACUUGUGUCUUGAAUACUUCAGCAUGGAAUAAUAAAGUAGGACUUUGGUUCUAUUUUGUUGGUUUGUGAACCUUAGUAAUGGUUAAUAGGAACGGUUGGGGGCAUUCGUAUUUAACUGUCAGAGGUGAAAUUCUUAGAUUUGUUAAAGACAAACUACUGAGAAAGA